CCGGAAAUGAGGUAACUCCUCGCGACGGUAACCCAGGAAACUGGUAAAUAGGGAGCGCGGUGGUUAGUUAUGUCCCUCUUAGAGAGUAACACAUACUGCAUAUCAAAGUGAUGGUGCCAUUUGAUGUCUUGCUGGCAAAAGAGCAGCAGGGUUUCAAAGAGAAGUACAAAUUUCCUCUCACAACCAGUCCUGGGGGAAACAAGCAGCAUGUGUCCCUCGUCUAUCACUGUCUCUGCCAUAGGUAACGCAGAGACAGGCUCUUCCUCCGUCUCCCUGGCACUCUGGGUGUCUUUUAAAUCUCCCGCAGCGGUGCCGGUGGCUGACAUCAUGAGCCUAGCGCUGCCCAGUUUGAUUGACAACUGGACCUUAUAGUGCAGCGGCAGCGCCAUGUGUCGCCGUGGCUCUGCCAUUUCCUGCCCAAGAGGCUUCUACUAAGGACAUGAUAACUGAUUUUGCUGAGAAGCAUGAUGAAUAUUUAAUAUUCCUUCAGCAGAGAAACCGCAUAUUGAGGCAUUUAAAAAAAAAAGGAUCCCAUGCAAAUCAAACUGGAGCAUUUAGAACAAGGAUUUUCUCUUUAUGUAAAUGGUGCUAAUUCAGAGCUGAGAAACUACCCCAGAAAAUCCAGCUCACAAGCCUCUCUCAGAAGUGAGCUAAAGAGUACAAAGAGAAAUGAUUCUCUACCACCAGUUCAGAUAGAAGAACUUGAACUGUUAGGAUGCAGUGCACAGACUGCAUCAAGCAAAAUUCAACGUAAAGGAUGGCUUCAGGUAUGGAGUAAUGCAGAAGAAUGUAUUGUUAUUCCUAUCUCCUAGUAGUGCUCCUAGCUCUAGUGCUAGGUGUAUAUAAAUACAGUUUCCUUAGCCUGAGCUAUAAUCAGUAUGUCAUUCUUGCAUCAUUGGACAGCAGUCCAUAUUACAUAUUGGUAGUGGACAUUCUCUCUACAGGGAAGAGCCUCAUCAGCAGCCUCACAGUUGUUUGCUUUACAUUGGAAAAGAGUAACUUCUAAAAACUUGCACGUAAUCAAAUGAACUGAAUAUGCUGGUGAAUUAAAAAUGAAAUACGAUAUGGUAGAGUGUUUUUGGACAUGCUUGUGAGUGACAAGAUGGCUACCCUUACCAUAAGCAGUUGGUGCCUGUAGUUUCUAUGGCAUAACUCAAAUAAAAUAUGAGUGCUCAGGACUAAUAGUAUUUUUAAUGAUAUCUCUAUAGGAAGAGAGACAUGAUUGUCAGCUACUGUUCUUUAAAGAGGCAGCAAAAAAACCCCUCACCACGGACAAUUGGGCAGAACAACAGAACACAUCCCCGCAGCCAUUUUUAAGCUCGGGAAUGCUGUUACACAAGAUGCUGGAGUCUGCUGGAGCAUGGUAAUUACCAUACUCCUCCAGGGUUGAUUAAUCGAGCCUGCUUCAUUACAGCGCAUUGGAACAGCCUCACUGCUUGUGUAUAGGCACCCACUGGGUGUGUCCACAUGUGCAUUUAUGCUGUCUUGAAUUUACUGCGUGGUAAGUUACUGCGCAGUAAGCAGUAAUAGGCUGGCGUCUAUACAUGUAGCCAUUAAAGCACAUUAACACUGUGUGUGGACUGACUUCAUAGAUUUCAUAGACAUUAGGACUGGAAGGGACCUUGGAAGAUCAUUGAG
Molecule: long non-coding RNA, 1638 nt
Organism: Alligator sinensis (Chinese alligator)
Lineage: Eukaryota; Metazoa; Chordata; Crocodylia; Alligatoridae
Exons: 6
Source: RefSeq, a predicted model, not a curated record